Long non-coding RNA from Gadus chalcogrammus (walleye pollock), 4750 nucleotides. RefSeq lists it as uncharacterized. Lineage: Eukaryota; Metazoa; Chordata; Actinopteri; Gadiformes; Gadidae. The record is from RefSeq and is a predicted model, not a curated record. The transcript has 8 exons.
GCAGACCAGGAACGGGAGGAGGAAGCGCUCGGGUCCGUGAGCAGCUGGAGGCCCACGGAGGCCCACGGAGGCCCUAGAGACUGUCUUUCAUGGAUAUUUAACUGCAGUUCUGUGAGUAUCCCAACUUGACCAUGAAGCAUAACUGCAAACUGUAAGUCAUUAAUUUCUCAUUACUCUUGGGCACAUUGAUGUAGUUUGGCUUCCUGGUGAGUUAACCUGUUACCUGAAGGUUGAUCUGAGUAGGAAGGAUGUUUUAUUGGUUCAUGGGUUACUUAGGUGUUUGGUUUAUGUUGGUUUUAAUGAUUUGUUAAAAUGGUUACAGGCUCUAAGUUAUUGUUGUAAGCUGGAGUAAUGGGUUGGGUUCUGAUAUCUUCAGUCUUCUUUCAUUCUACUCUCCUGAGCUCUGCAUCGUCAUCACAUGAGUGUUGCUUUACUGAUGAGGCUGGGGUCUGAGUGAGCAGAGGUGCAUACUGGGAUACAGAGCGGUCUCGAGUCUACAGGUCUGAAGACACGCCCCCUCAGGGGAAACCGAGUGUUUGAGAAGCUGUCGUGUCGUCAGUUACAUGGACUGGAAUGUUCAUAAAGAUGGAGACAGGGAUUCAGAAGGAGAAACACCAGGGGGAGAUGAGGGGCUCCUCAUCUCAACGACUAAAACACAACUUCAGUCUGACACAGAACCAUGGAACACAUUCAACAGUCCCCUCCAGGCAUCGUGACUCCUCAGGAACAGUUUCAUUUCCAAGAAGGUCUUAUUUGGGGCCAUCCCCAUAUGGAUCCUGCUCCUCAAGAGCCCCCCCCCCCCUCCACUGGGUGGUCUUCUGAACAGAUGAUCUCCUUCCUGUCCUCAGGCUGACUAAAGCUGCACCGUUUGCAUCUGUGGAGGCCCCUCAUUCAGGAAACCACUGGACUACAAAGACAUGACUUCAAAGAUGUUGAAUCAACCUGGGACACAUUUUGGAGACGCCAAGCAUAAUCCAUCACCAAUGUGGGACGCCACUGAAGAAUGUUGUACAUAAUUCACGUCUCUGGAGACAUUGGUUGUUCUGUUAUGGGUGCCCUGGCAGGAGAGCUGGGGGGGGGGGGGGGUGAUGGAAUGUUAUUUGCUAUGAGGUUUUUACCCUGCAUGAUUGUUUGGCCUUUUAUGGCUCAGUGGUGUGCGUGUGCGCGUGUGUGUGUGUGUGUGUGUGUGUGUGUGUGUGUGUGUCAUGAGAUGAAAGAUUUUUGAGCAUCGCUAGGCUUCUACUGUGUGUGUGUGUGUGUGUGUGUGUCUCCCACUCACACCUGGCAUGGGGUUCUACGUGCCUGUCCUGGGUUCUGUGUGUGUGUGUCCGGCUUGCUUUGACAGUGAUAAUGUUCACACGGGGGUCUGUGUGAUUGGCUUGGGAUAUUGGAAUGGUCAACUAAAUCAUACCUGAUGGACGGCCACACGUUUACUUAAGGGCCUCCAGUAGACAUGAAGAGCCCUGAGCGACGCUCCGGAGCGAUAUCAACACACUGGGCAUGAAGGAGAGUACCCAAUUCAAGUGUAAAAGGAUGCAAGCGGCGUGUUCAGAUCAGUGACUUCAAACUAGGACUACACCAAUCAGGAUCAAUGGAGGAUGGACACCAAAAGGAAUUCCACAAGGAGUCUGACGUUGGAAAGGGACCUAAAUGUAUAUUCAAGAUGACCUUCAGACCUGUAAUGAGACGGCUCUUCCUAUCUGGCUGGAUUGAUGGAGAGCCCUGUGGAUCUUGUCUUGCUCUCAGUUGCACGUCUUCUCAGGCUGAACUGUAAUUGUUUCGGACAGGACUAGCUGAACGAUUGGGUCCCUUAAAUCAGAACCAAUCCGGGAACUCCAGCUAGUGCGCUCUUCGAGCUGAAGUUGUGCUCUUCAGCUGAGAAGGUAAACCUUCACUGGGGCUUCAAGGUGUAAAGAGGAGAAUGUUUCAAAGUGUUCCAUGGUACUCUGAUGAAGACCGUUGUUGUGUUCCACUGGCUGCGAGGAAGAACCCACACAUCUUCCUCUUGGCCUUUCUCCUCUGAGAAUCCUGGCGCCAUCUUGAAGGAUAUUCCAGCUCAUGUAACUGAUGUCACGACAGAUUCUCAAACACUUGGUUUCUCCUGAGGGGCGUGUCUAUGGAACUGAAGACUUCAGACAGCACUGUAUCCCAGCAUGCAUCUCUGCUCACUCAGACCACACCCCCAUGAGUAGGAUGCAACACUUUAGUGAUGGAGAUGUAGAGUUUUAUAAGUAACGAGGGAGCAGACUAAGGUGAUUAGAACACAAUGGAAUGUCGAGUCUGUAAAUCUUUAAGCCAUGAAGAUGGUUGGAUAGUUCAGGAAUUGGGCUUCUUUUUAUUAUGGGCAGUCCUUUCACUCAGAUGCCCACUUCUCACUGGAGCUGUACAUGUGUUGGCUGGCUGGCAUGAUUUGCUGUUGGUGAUGAGGCGGUCAGGGUGACGUUGCAGGGCUAUGGUCGGCUCUCUGUGAGCUCAACGUUUAGAUUUGCUCUGCAUGGUUUGUACCCUGAAUAAUCUAGAUAAUUGUAAAAUGUAGACACGGUUUUGUAUUGAAUGAUUCCCGGAUUUUAGGUUUAAAGUUGUUGAGGGACGUACAUGGUAGUUUGGUUCUUCGUAUGGUUUUGAGUGAUAUAACUUGUACACACUGGGUGCAUAAUAAUGUAAAGGCACACUGAAUAGUAUUAAUGACCAACAGCAACAAACGGAUCUCCUCAAGGUAAGUCUGUUGGCUGUGUUUUAAUGAAGACCAUCGCUGGACUUCAGGAUCUUCCUCCGUUCAGCUCAAGGUGAGGCGCUGGUUCUGUUUUUUCUUUGGUUGGUUCCGGCCGGAAUGUUUGGAUUCCAGUCGGACGGUUUGUGCUUCCCGCCGUGGACGUUUCUGAGUGCGGUCACUUGAUUUAGUCCCAAUGGUUAGCAUAGAACGUUGUAGUCUUGACAACCAUAAGAACCACCUGGCAGUUAGUUUGACGGGAGUCCCCUGAGGGAAUCUGGCGGAACGUUCUGGAUUGUAUUUGAGUAACCUCGAGGCGUUGCCAACGGAAACAAUUUUUCAGUCGUUUCCAUUGGGAAUUGUUGCCCCUAUCUUAAACAACUAAAGUUUGAUAUUAAAAAAAUACUGAGACGUACGUCGUACAAUAUGUUGAUACUUUCCGAUGGUUGCGCCGUACUUUUAUACACGAUGACGUUGCGGGACUCUCACUGCAUACAAAACAGCGUUCUACUUGCGGGCCAAUUUUUGACAUCAGGGAAGGCUGAAAAUCAUUUCAAGGUGGAAGAUAAUUUGACAUUUCUUCAACGGAACCCAGCACCUGAAUAUGGCUGAGUAUAUUUGAUUUAAUAUCGAUACUGCUUAGUGUUCUUUGUUACUUCAGAUUUUUUACGUUCUAAAUAUCUGCUGUCAUUAAUUGCCACAGAAGUUUAACCCUACCCAAUGGAAUGACUUUAAACAACGACUUUGGUGCAGUUACCAACUGGAUAAUAUCAAAGCUAAAAUAAUGGCCGUCAUUCCCACAUGUUACAGUAGAAGAUACUCUAGAACUGUACAAGGUUAAAAAGGUAGCAUGUAGUUUGUCCCAAGGUGUCUGCCUCCUCACCCAGAGCCAGACCUCCACCUCCUCACCCAGAGCCAGACCUCCACCUCCUGUCAGAAGUCCUCCAGAACAGGCGAGGCUGAGAGGCUGGGGACCGGAGGCUUGUGGUGCCAGGAUGGACCGGAGACUGAGGCUGGAGACCAGGGGCCUGCAGCACCGGACCAUGGGACCAGGAAUCCAUGGCUGAAGGAGGAGCUGAGACGCUGGAGGACGACUAGGAAUCGACCAACAAGGAUUCCUCAACGUGUUUCCGGAGCGGAGGCCAGCUGGCAGGGGAGCCGUGAAUCUGGAGGAUGACCAUCACUCUACCAACAAGGAUUACUUUAGGGCCAGACUUGCGCUGUUUGUUCCAGACCAGGACUCUGGCUGAGGAGAGCUGAUGGAGGAGCCAAGACUCUGGAGGACGACUUCACUCCACCAACCAGGAUCCUCACCAGGAAGCUGGAGGACUGAUGGAGAAGCCGUACAUCUGGAAGGCAAAUCCUGAGGACCACCAUGACUCUACCAUCAAGGAUUCCUCAUAAAUGUGCAUUAUCUGGACAUAGUGGACUAGACACACCUGAGCCGAACCUCACCUGAUCCUGUUUGGUCGGGGGUAGACACACCUGAGCUAAACCCGCCCUGAUCCUGACAUCCUGCUGGUCCCGUCUCCUCAGUUCAUCUGAGCCUCGUCCUCCAGAAGACCUGCUGAGCUCAGCAGUCUGAGGCUGAUGGAUCAAUGACCUCCAGUGGGAGUCUUCUUCUUGACCCCACAUGUAACUGUGUGCUUCCACACGCCUUUCCCUCACAUCUGUCACUAACCUCACUACUUCACUACUCUCUACUGCUUCCUCUUUUCUUCCUUCUCUGUGGUUCAAACCUUUACACUGAAGGCGCGUCUUCCUGCCCUCAGAGGGUUUAGCGUUAGGGUUGAGAGUCAGGGUUUAGAGUCAGGGACAGAGCUGGUCAGGGAGGACUGCUUUUACACAAACCUCUUCAGUUGCUUUCGGAAUGGUGGUGACAUUUUGAAAAGAUUCAUUUGGGAAAAUGUUUUCCUCUGCUUUCCUUUACAAAUUGUAUUGAACUUCUGCCAAGUGUUUUUGUUUAUAUAUUAAAAUCCCACAUUGACUUCUACAUGUUUGUUGCGGUUCAUUUAAUUGUCCUUUAACUUGGUUAAUGUC